GUAGAAUUUGAUCCUGGCUUUGAAUGAAAGUGGCGAGGCAUGCUUGAAACACGUAGAUAACCCGCGACAAGGCUGGGGAUGACAUUUGGAAACAGGUGCUAAUACCGAAUAAAACUUAGUAUCGCAUGAUACAAAGUUGAAAGGCGCUACGGCGUCACCUAGAGAUGGGUCCGCGGUGCAUUAGUUAGUUGAUGGGGUAAAGGCCUACCAAGACAAUGAUGCAUAGCCGAGUUGAGAGACUGAUCAGUCACACUGGAACUGAGACACGGUCCAGACUCCUACGGGAGGCAGCAGUGGGGAAUAUUGGACAAUGGGCGAAAGCCUGAUCCAGCCAUGCCGCGUGUGUGAAGAAGGUCUUCGGAUUGUAAAGCACUUUAAGUUGGGAGGAAGGGCCGUUACCUAAUACGUGAUGGUUUUGACGUUACCGACAGAAUAAGCACCGGCUAACUCU
This 451-nucleotide ribosomal RNA is filed under the name uncultured bacterium. RNAcentral describes it as "bacterial SSU rRNA". It matches the Rfam family "Bacterial small subunit ribosomal RNA", at positions 68 to 504 of the family's 1533-position model. The record is from RNAcentral.